CACAACAGAGGUAUAGGCUGAGGACAUUUCUGCUUUUCCCUUUUCUCUCUAGGACCAUGUGUCAAAGCAUAUGUGACAUUCCAAGUGCCCCUGAAGGCUUUUCCCGAUUCUAUGGAUUAUCAUCUUGGCAGAUACAUUACCUUUCAGGUUGACAUCUAGGAUGGUCUGCCUGGGAAUGACACCUGUGACAUCAAUGAUGGCAGCUGUGUGGAUGACCACUGAGAUGCCCUGGCAGGCUCUCCUCAGAUACUGGGUGUCAAGAAUGUCUCCUUCCAACACUGUCACCUUGAUGCUUGUCCCUAGGUCUGUGGAACACAAGGCAGGUCUGAAGACCUUGUCCAGGACCUUGAUUUCCUCCAGAUCUUUCUCCUGCACCAACAACUGGAUGAUCCUCUGGCC
Molecule: long non-coding RNA, 399 nt
Organism: Mus pahari (shrew mouse)
Lineage: Eukaryota; Metazoa; Chordata; Mammalia; Rodentia; Muridae
Exons: 3
Source: RefSeq, a predicted model, not a curated record